This 301-nucleotide ribosomal RNA is filed under the name uncultured bacterium. RNAcentral describes it as "partial 16S ribosomal RNA". It matches the Rfam family "Bacterial small subunit ribosomal RNA", at positions 509 to 807 of the family's 1533-position model. The record is from RNAcentral.
CAGUCGCCACGGUAAUACGAAGGGGGCUAGCGUUGUUCGGAUUUACUGGGCGUAAAGGGCGCGUAGGCGGACUGAUAAGUCAGGGGUGAAAUCCCAAGGCUCAACCUUGGAACUGCCUUUGAUACUGUUUGUCUUGAGUUCGAGAGAGGUAAGUGGAACUGCGAGUGUAGAGGUGAAAUUCGUAGAUAUUCGCAAGAACACCAGUGGCGAAGGCGGCUUACUGGCUCGAAACUGACGCUGAGGCGCGAAAGCGUGGGGAGCAAACAGGAUUAGAUACCCGGGUAGUCCCUGUCUCUUAUAC